UGUAGAAGCUUGGUCGAAGAUCGGUUGUCAUGGGGGCUCGAAGUAGCGACCCGAUCGGUGGAUCCUAUCCCAUCGUAGAAGCUCAUCCGAGAUUCGACUACGAAGAAGCUCAGCUGAAGUCUACCUGUAAUAGAAGUUCGAAAGAAAUUUGUUUACAGUAGAGGCUCAAAUAGAAUUUGCUUACAGUAGAUAUCCAGGAUAGACCGCCCGCUGUAGGAGUUCGGAGUAGACUG
This 233-nucleotide long non-coding RNA is filed under the name Elaeis guineensis (African oil palm). RNAcentral's name for it is "long non-coding RNA (EGUI_LNC020304)". Lineage: Eukaryota; Viridiplantae; Streptophyta; Magnoliopsida; Arecales; Arecaceae. The record is from RNAcentral.